GAUGAACGCUGGCGGCGUGCUUAACACAUGCAAGUCGAACGAAGCACUUAAGAUUGAUUCUUCGGAUGACGUCUUUUGUGACUUAGUGGCGGACGGGUGAGUAACGCGUGGGUAACCUGCCUCACACAGGGGGAUAACAGUUAGAAAUGACUGCUAAUACCGCAUAACCCGAUAGGAUCGCAUGAUCCAGACGGAAAAGAUUUAUCGGUGUGAGAUGGACCCGCGUCUGAUUAGCUAGUUGGUGAGGUAACGGCCCACCAAGGCGACGAUCAGUAGCCGGCCUGAGAGGGUGAACGGCCACAUUAGGACUGAGACACGGCCCAAACUCCUACGGGAAGCAGCAGUGGGGAAUAUUGCACAAUGGGGGAAACCCUGAUGCAGCGACGCCGCGUGAGUGAAGAAGUAUUUCGGUAUGUAAAGCUCUAUCAGCAGGGAAGAAAAUGACGGUACCUGACUAAGAAGCCCCGGCUAACUACGUG
RNAcentral lists this ribosomal RNA (479 nucleotides) under uncultured bacterium. RNAcentral's name for it is "partial 16S ribosomal RNA". It matches the Rfam family "Bacterial small subunit ribosomal RNA", at positions 28 to 507 of the family's 1533-position model. The record is from RNAcentral.